Molecule: ribosomal RNA, 521 nt
Filed under: uncultured archaeon
Lineage: Archaea
Description: bacterial SSU rRNA
Rfam family: Archaeal small subunit ribosomal RNA
Source: RNAcentral
ACGGGGUGCAGCAGGCGCGAACACUUUACAAUGCGGGAAACCGCGAUAAGGGAACCCCGAGUGCCAGCAUCAAAUGUUGGCUGUCCAGAUGAUUAAAAAUCAUUUGUUAGCAAGGGCCGGGCAAGACCGGUGCCAGCCGCCGCGGUAACACCGGCGGCCCGAGUGGUAGCCGUUUUUAUUGGGUCUAAAGGGUCCGUAGCCGGCCUGAUAAGUCCUUUGGGAAAUCUGGCAGCUUAACUGUCAGGCUUCUAAGGGAUACUGUCAGGCUUGGGACCGGAAGAGGUAAGGGGUACUCCAGGGGUAGGAGUGAAAUCUUGUAAUCCCUGGGGGACCAUCUGUGGCGAAGGCGCCUUACCAGAACGGGUCCGACGGUGAGGGACGAAAGCUAGGGGAGCAAACCGGAUUAGAUACCCGGGUAGUCCUAGCUGUAAACGAUGCUCGCUAGGUGUCAGACACGGUGCGACCGUGUUUGGUGCCGCAGGAAGCCGUUAAGCGAGCCACCUGGAAGUACGUCGCAAGGC